Molecule: ribosomal RNA, 478 nt
Filed under: uncultured bacterium
Lineage: Bacteria
Description: partial 16S ribosomal RNA
Rfam family: Bacterial small subunit ribosomal RNA
Source: RNAcentral
GAUGAACGCUGGCGGCGUGCUUAACACAUGCAAGUCGAGCGGAAAGGCCCUUCGGGGUACUCGAGCGGCGAACGGGUGAGUAACACGUGAGUAAUCUGCCCUUGGCUUCGGGAUAGCCACCGGAAACGGUGAUUAAUACCGGAUACGACCACUCCUGGCAUCAGGUGGUGGUGGAAAGUUUUUCGGCCAGGGAUAUGCUCGCGGCCUAUCAGCUUGAUGGUGAGGUAAUGGCUCACCAUGGCUUCGACGGGUAGCCGGCCUGAGAGGGUGACCGGUCACACUGGGACUGAGACACGGCCCAGACUCCUACGGGAGGCAGCAGUGGGGAAUAUUGGACAAUGGGCGGAAGCCUGAUCCAGCAACGCCGCGUGAGGGAUGACGGCCUUCGGGUUGUAAACCUCUUUCAGCAGGGACGAAGCGCAAGUGACGGUACCUGCAGAAGAAGCACCGGCCAACUACGUGCCAGCCGCCGCAGUAA